GAUAAACGCUGGCGGCGUGCUUAACACAUGCAAGUCGAACGAAGUUUUUCCUUCGGGAGAAACUUAGUGGCGGACGGGUGAGUAACGCGUGGGUAACCUGCCCUGUACAGGGGGACAACAGCUGUAAACGGCUGCUAAUACCGCAUAAGCCCUUAGCACUGCAUGGUGCAUAGGGAAAAGGAGCAAUCCGGUACAGGAUGGACCCGCGUCUGAUUAGCCAGUUGGCAGGGUAACGGCCUACCAAAGCGACGAUCAGUAGCCGAUCUGAGAGGAUGUACGGCCACAUUGGGACUGAGACACGGCCCAGACUCCUACGGGAGGCAGCAGUGGGGAAUAUUGCACAAUGGAGGAAACUCUGAUGCAGCGACGCCGCGUGAGUGAAGAAGUAUUUCGGUAUGUAAAGCUCUAUCAGCAGGGAAGAAAAUGACGGUACCUGACUAAGAAGCACCGGCUAAAUACGU
This 461-nucleotide ribosomal RNA is filed under the name uncultured bacterium. Its description in RNAcentral is "partial 16S ribosomal RNA". It matches the Rfam family "Bacterial small subunit ribosomal RNA", at positions 28 to 506 of the family's 1533-position model. The record is from RNAcentral.